This 643-nucleotide long non-coding RNA is filed under the name Pan paniscus (pygmy chimpanzee). RNAcentral's name for it is "lncRNA (ENSPPAG00000045446.1)". Lineage: Eukaryota; Metazoa; Chordata; Mammalia; Primates; Hominidae. The record is from RNAcentral.
AAAAGAUAGAAAACAUUUCCUAGCCUCCCUUGCAGAUUGAUAUGACCAUGUUACUGUUUUUUAGGGAAAUGGAAUUGAAGACAACUACUUCUAGAAUUGGUGCAUGGAAGCUUCUCAUAGGUGAUUAGCCACACUCUUCUUCUGUCAACCUGGUGCAGAAAAGCUUGAAGACCUCGGAAAUCACAUAUUGAUGAUGGAGGAGAUACAAGAAUGAAGGACCCUGGGUUCCUGAAUCAACACUCUAAGAAGAGACUCCUUGAAAUCAAGAGCGCUCAUCUUGACAUUGCAAACGGAAAAAUUCACUUCUAUCAGGGGACUGAUCAGAGUCAAACCAUAUGCUGUGGCUUUUGCUCCAUGGAAAUCUCAACUAUACUGCAAGAAUAAUUAUUCCUACUUAAUGAAGUUACAGAAGAGAAUGUGGUGCUGGACGGUACUGACUGCAUGGGGAGAGGCCAUACCACAGAAACCUCAAUCUGCCUGAGCCGUGACUCUGAGAGCUGGAGUACCACUGGACAGGGUGAGGGGAGCUUUUGCUUGUUUACUCAGAAAUAUUUUCUAAAUUACCUGUUUGUGUUAUUUAGGAGGGAAGGAUUGGGGAAUGCCACUUUGACCUGAUUUUUACAGAAUAAACUCCUUGCGUAGC